Long non-coding RNA from Helianthus annuus (common sunflower), 7835 nucleotides. RefSeq lists it as uncharacterized. The record is from RefSeq and is a predicted model, not a curated record. The transcript has 6 exons. NCBI's taxonomy places the organism in Eukaryota, Viridiplantae, Streptophyta, Magnoliopsida, Asterales, Asteraceae.
CAACCCGUAAUUAACGGCUUCUAAUUACGCGAUUAUCAAACGUUUAAGGCGAUAAUAAAUAGUGUUUAAGGCACUAACUUAAUUAGGCUUUUGGAAUGCCUAGGAACGUCUAUUUGACCUUACAGUGCGCAUACGGUGAUUUUCGGGAAACUUGCUGAGCGUCAAACGCUAACUAACUGACACCGUACAAAAUAUUGACAACGCCGACUAAUAUUAAAUUUUUACGAUAUAUUUAGCUCCGCAAUUUAAUUUCAAUAAGUGUAGUCGAAACCAGAUCGAAAAAAAAAACGGAUUUAACGGCGAACGAUGCAAUUUUUCGCGAUUUUUACCGUUAACGACGAACGAACGCGCGAACGCAAUUACUGACACUAAAUUUCGUUUCUUGAUUUUGUAUCAAUAAUUUACGACAUUUUUUUUUAGAAAAACGGGUGUUGAAAACGGGUUUCGUAGGAAUUACGGGCCACACAAGACGCGAUAUUGGGCUUGUGGGCCUUGGGCCCAAGCCCAAAGCCCACCAACAUAACCCUAGUAUAAAUUAGAAGUGAACCCUAGUUCCACUUCAUACUCAUCAGCCGCUAUAUGUUGCCUUUCCCUCAUUCUCUCAAAACCCUAUCUCCAUCUUCUUAAGACAAACAAAAUUUGCAUCAUUUCUGCUUCCUCCCUCUCGACUUAUACAUCAGCCACACACAAAGCCCUAACCCCAUCUCAAAUUCUUCCUCAAAGAUGCAUCAGACUCAAACAAUCACCCUCUCAUCUCUCUCACCCGUCCAGUAAACACGAAACGGCGCUGGUUAUCGGUCGAAUCUCCGGUCGAUCGACUUCACCGGCAGGACACCCCCACACGCACCCCCUGUUAAUUAAGUCUGGCAGCAAUCGCAGCGCCGCCGUUGCGGCGGCGGUGGUGGAGGUGGCGUCUUGAUUCUGCUCCGACAAACCUACGACAAUGACUCCGCAUAAUCUUGUUGAUAUCUCAAACAGAGAACAAAGGGAGAAGGAGAUCGAGAGAGAGAGAGAGAGAACUGAGAAGACGAGAAAAGUGAAUGAGUGAAACGAGAGAAAUGGUAACGGCAACUUACCGGCAACGGGCUGUCUCUCGGACGGCGGCAAAGAGCGACGACGGCCGUGGUGGUGUUCAUCAGGUGAGAUUUUAUUCGGAUUCAGGGCAGCCACGGUUCGAUUAUGGUUCAGUUCUGCUGAGGUGUUUCGGCUCGUAUGCGGAUUGAUUGGUUGUUUCGGGUCAAGUAUGGUUCGGGUUCAGAUUCACUCUUGGUUGGUUUGAGAUACAAGAAGAUGAGAGUGGUAACUCAGUUCAGUUUUGGUUUGUUUCGGGUCAACAAGCCAACAACAGCCCACGGACCCGGUUCGGGUCAACAGUAAAAGCACGGUCGGUUUGGGUCACACGGUUCACACAUCGGUUCAGUUUCACAGCACCGGUCGAUAGGUCAGCCCCGGUUCGAUACCAACUCAGUUUUGUUCAUUUAAUUCUAAUUCCAUUUCUGAUGUUAAUUUCUUUGUUGAAAUGGAAGUUAGUAAUGGUGGUGUUUCACGUUUCGCCUCGGGUACCGGGAUGACUCAGUCAACACCCGGUCAACUCAGUUCAACAACAGUCAACGGCCGGUCAACACGAAGGACCCGGAAUGUCGUAGUUGCACGCUAGCUACUUCACGUUUUUGGAACGACACUUCGGAAACACACUAAGCUAGCUUUGCACAGGGAUAUCCAGGUUACAUUGUCAAAACUACGGAACGGUUGGAAUAGAAGAACCCACGGGAUUUCGAGUAAUUAGCGGGCGUUCAUUUUUUAGAAGUCUUAGCUUUUUGCUUCCGCUGUGCAAUGAAGAUACCGGUCCAGUCACACCAGCUCUGAUAUUUCGGGGUGUGACAGAUUGGUAUCAGAGCUAUAGGUUACAGCGAAUUAGGUUUCUGCAGAGAUACCUAGGCUUUAACCUCACUAUUCUUUGGGGACUUAGAUAUCAAGAAUUGAACACAUACAGAACGCCUAAGACUCGAAUAUGGGUUCCAACCGUUGCCAAGAACAGUGAGUCAACUGUUUUGAUUUUAAACAUGCACAAGAGUUGUGUUUGAUACACGAUACACGAAGCAAAUUCAUACAUUAAGCAAAACUUUGAGAGUUUUGGAUAACAUGCACUAAGGACCUUUGGAAAGCUUAUAUCGAAACUAAUUAAAGGUCCUCACUUAGAAACCGUGACUAACUACUCGGGCAAACGCCAUUAUAUUAUGUCGUCUAUGCUAUCCUACGUACCCGAGCAGGUAACCUAAGCGGAACGAAACGCCAGUGCACACGAAUACAUGAAAACUCAAAUUAUACGUUAACGGAUGUCGGAGCACAUCACAUUCUACGCAGAACGGAACGCUAGUGCGCACGUAUACAUGAAACUUAAACUAUAUGUCAGUGGACGUCAGAGAAUAUCACACACGACUUUCGAGACAAGGCCUUGGGAAAACAUGAUUGGGCACGACAACAAUGAUGCUAAUUCUGUCAGCGAGGGAAUUACUUAUUGAAAUGCGGCAAUUUACCACGUGAUCUUGCAAAUGGCACGAGUCAUGCUGAGGUACGUUAAAACAAGAUUUCACAACAGUCGAUAUUUAGUCUGAAGAGUCUCACGAUUGUUGGCACUGCAAAAGAAAUCACACGUCUUCGCAUUCCCCCUACUUCAUUUAUGACAAUUAUGCUAUGUACGACAUUCCAUGGUAAUGUCAUCUAACAACCGGUCAUUACACGAAAUUCCAGGUAAAGUCCUUAAAAUUUCUUUUAUUGAAUUUCCGACUUUUGCAUCUAGUGAGUAGAUUUUUUUUUUUUUUACAUCUCUACUUCUCCCUAAUGGUCAGUGCAUCAUGAAGAUUUUAUUUCAUGAUAGCGAAACACUCAUAUUUCUUGACAAAUUCAUACGCUACACAUGCAUUAUUUGUUACGCAUGUGGUUUCACUUCGAAUGGUUGUUUUGUCAACAUUUCAUAAAUCAUUUCGCUAUACUAAAUCUUUGCAUUGUAUUCUAGACGACCCGUAUUAUUGCAAAAUGUUGACUCCUUGUUAUCGAGUCAACGGAUUUCUUCGAAAACUCAUUUUCUUUUGAGUGGCAUACAUGGUUUUUCGUUGUGGCCAUGUCGAAACUUUUUAUUGAUACAUGAAUUCAUUGUUGGUUAAUGUUUCAACCAAGUUCAAUUGAUUGAACUUGCUCGUAAUACGUAUGCAAUUUAAGAUUCCAUAUGAUGGAUUGAGGCCAUCAUAUUCGAAAUAAUCCCAACAAGCACUUCAUUUGUUUUGAACUAUAACAUGCUUGUUUGGUCUUUGACUUUAUUGAAUCGUUUCUUUGAUCACGAUCACCUUGUGGUGGCGUUUUCACAAAUUCGAAGCUUGCGCUAAUCCCGUUUACACAGUACGGAUUUAAUUAUUUAUCUAUUUGUUUAUUGAUAUUAAAUCCGCUUUGUUGAUUUAUCAUAUUAAAGCAAUCUUAAUACAAUCGUGUGUUAAGAUAAUGGUACACAAAUUCAUUUCGUAUUUCGGUGUACCUCUUAACGGUUCUUUCAGCAUCGAUCGAACAUUUUGUUAUAUUCAUUGGUUUUUCAUUUUCGAUCAAAAACAUUAUUUCCUUGUUUCAUUUUCAAUUGAAAAUCCCAUGAGAUUUGUUUGAACCGAAUAUUCAGAUCUACUUCAUUGAAACUUUCAUCAGAUUUCAAACACGGUGAACUUGUUCAGUCACCGCUAUUAUUGAAUUAUUUCACUCACUACGACACCUUGUGGCGUCGGUAUAAACUUGUAGCUUGUGCUAAUCAUGAUCGAGCGUUCAUGCAAAACAUGGUGAUGCUUGUUCAGUCACCGCUAUUAUUGAAUUAUUUCACUCACUACGACACCUUGUGGCGUCGGUAUAAACUUGUAGCUUGUGCUAAUCACGAUCAACCGUUUCAUGCAAAACUAUAUAUAUUCUUUUCUUUUGACACAUCAUUUAAGUAGUCUUAAUGCAACUAUGUAUUACGACGAUGAUACACCAGGUUCGUUUGUAUUUCAUUUCGGUGUAUCCUUGCAACUCAACAAUGUCAACACCAUGAUUUUAUCUUAUUCAUUUAUUGGUUCGAUAGUUGACAAAUCAUUUUUAUGAUUCUAUUUAUUUGAGUUUCAUCUAUACAACAACCAACACAAGGUUCCGUUGGUAGUAUAUCUUUUGUUUCAAAAAAAAUUGAUUUGCAUAUUGUGAACGUUCAUUUGGAAUUCUAUUGGUAGAAGCUCAUCUCUUGUUGGACCCCCGUAAACUUAGUCACAUUGGUGAUAGUAUCACUAUGCUUCGUUCACUUGACAUCGAUUUCUGGAACAAACUCAUUUGAACCGUUGGGUUCUUAUUGAUGCAAAAUGUCCUUACAAUUAUGCAAUCUGAAUAAGUCUUGAUUCAACUACGUGGUCAUUAACUUUGGCAUUGUUCGGACUUACCUAGGAACGACACAACUCCGAGGAGAUAACAUAGUCUAAAUUUCGAGGACGAAAUUUAUGUAACAGGGGGAGAAUGUGACAACCCGUAAUUAACGGCUUCUAAUUACGCGAUUAUCAAACGUUUAAGGCGAUAAUAAAUAGUGUUUAAGGCACUAACUUAAUUAGGCUUUUGGAAUGCCUAGGAACGUCUAUUUGACCUUACAGUGCGCAUACGGUGAUUUUCGGGAAACUUGCUGAGCGUCAAACGCUAACUAACUGACACCGUACAAAAUAUUGACAACGCCGACUAAUAUUAAAUUUUUACGAUAUAUUUAGCUCCGCAAUUUAAUUUCAAUAAGUGUAGUCGAAACCAGAUCGAAAAAAAAAACGGAUUUAACGGCGAACGAUGCAAUUUUUCGCGAUUUUUACCGUUAACGACGAACGAACGCGCGAACGCAAUUACUGACACUAAAUUUCGUUUCUUGAUUUUGUAUCAAUAAUUUACGACAUUUUUUUUUAGAAAAACGGGUGUUGAAAACGGGUUUCGUAGGAAUUACGGGCCACACAAGACGCGAUAUUGGGCUUGUGGGCCUUGGGCCCAAGCCCAAAGCCCACCAACAUAACCCUAGUAUAAAUUAGAAGUGAACCCUAGUUCCACUUCAUACUCAUCAGCCGCUAUAUGUUGCCUUUCCCUCAUUCUCUCAAAACCCUAUCUCCAUCUUCUUAAGACAAACAAAAUUUGCAUCAUUUCUGCUUCCUCCCUCUCGACUUAUACAUCAGCCACACACAAAGCCCUAACCCCAUCUCAAAUUCUUCCUCAAAGAUGCAUCAGACUCAAACAAUCACCCUCUCAUCUCUCUCACCCGUCCAGUAAACACGAAACGGCGCUGGUUAUCGGUCGAAUCUCCGGUCGAUCGACUUCACCGGCAGGACACCCCCACACGCACCCCCUGUUAAUUAAGUCUGGCAGCAAUCGCAGCGCCGCCGUUGCGGCGACGGUGGUGGAGGUGGCGUCUUGAUUCUGCUCCGACAAACCUACGACAAUGACUCCGGUAAGCUUGUGUCUCCCAGUCUUCCUCAUCUCAGUUCCGUUUAAGUUCUCCAUCUACAAACAUGAUGAUAUUUUUUUAGCAUAAUCUUGUUGAUAUCUCAAACAGAGAACAAAGGGAGAAGGAGAUCGAGAGAGAGAGAGAGAGAGAGAGAAAACUGAGAAGACGAGAAAAGUGAAUGAGUGAAACGAGAGAAAUGGUAACGGCAACUUACCGGCAACGGGCUGUCUCUCGGACGGCGGCAAAGAGCGACGACGGCCGUGGUGGUGUUCAUCAGGUGAGAUUUUAUUCGGAUUCAGGGCAGCCACGGUUCGAUUAUGGUUCAGUUCUGCUGAGGUGUUUCGGCUCGUAUGCGGAUUGAUUGGUUGUUUCGGGUCAAGUAUGGUUCGGGUUCAGAUUCACUCUUGGUUGGUUUGAGAUACAAGAAGAUGAGAGUGGUAACUCAGUUCAGUUUUGGUUUGUUUCGGGUCAACAAGCGAACAACAGCCCACGGACCCGGUUCGGGUCAACAGUAAAAGCACGGUCGGUUUGGGUCACACGGUUCACACAUCGGUUCAGUUUCACAGCACCGGUCGAUAGGUCAGCCCCGGUUCGAUACCAACUCAGUUUUGUUCAUUUAAUUCUAAUUCCAUUUCUGAUGUUAAUUUCUUUGUUGAAAUGGAAGUUAGUAAUGGUGGUGUUUCACGUUUCGCCUCGGGUACCGGGAUGACUCAGUCAACACCCGGUCAACUCAGUUCAACAACAGUCAACGGCCGGUCAACACGAAGGACCCGGAAUGUCGUAGUUGCACGCUAGCUACUUCACGUUUUUGGAACGACACUUCGGAAACACACUAAGCUAGCUUUGCACAGGGAUAUCCAGGUUACAUUGUCAAAACUACGGAACGGUUGGAAUAGAAGAACCCACGGGAUUUCGAGUAAUUAGCGGGCGUUCAUUUUUUAGAAGUCUUAGCUUUUUGCUUCCGCUGUGCAAUGAAGAUACCGGUCCAGUCACGCCAGCUCUGAUAUUUCGGGGUGUGACAAUAGACGCUUUGGAUAAGAUUCAUAGAGUUUUCUUUUGGGGUGGCUCGGAAGAGAAAGCCAAAAUGAACUGGGUAGCGUGAGAUAGAACAAUCGCACCUAUUGAAUAUGGGGGCUUGGGAUUCGGUUCGCUUAGGGACACUAAUUUAGCUAUGUUAGCAAAGUGGUGGUGGAGGUUUAAAUCGGAGAAAACGGGUUUUUGGCAAAGGGUUGUUUGGGCUAUCCAUCAUAAUUCAAGGAAAUGGAAUGACAUCCCGGUAAAGAUUUCAGUUGCAGGACCUUGGAGAAGUAUAUAUAGUAUUUGGCAGCCUUUAUUAGCUACGGGUAUUGACAUUAAAAACGCUUUUUCAGCAAUGGUGGGAAAUGGUAAAGAUAUACAGAUUUGGUUAGAUAUCUGGAUCGAUCCAGAACCUUUAUACUUAAAGUUCCCGGCCCUGUUUAAGGAGUAGAGAUUCAAAGAAUGCUUGGUUGCGGAUAGAUGGGUCAGCAGCGAUACCGGCCCAGCUUGGAAUUGGGCCUGGUCUCGGCCAGUCCUCCGCCCAGAUAUACUCGAUCAGUUGCAGCAAUUGUUGUCUCUUAUAAAUUGCAGCCCCAUGUCUACAGCUUCGGACAAGUGGAAAUGGAGAUUUGAAGUGGAUGGUGUAUUCUCUGUUGCAAGCAUUAAAAACAUUUUAUGCUCAGCGGGUCGUGUCCGUCCUGAAAACGUCUUCGAAUGGAACAACUGGGUCCCAAAGAAGGUUUGUAUUGUAGCCUGGAGGGUAGAGAUGGAGAGACUACCGACUAAGAGUGCGUUGGCUAGACGGAAUGUACCGAUUCCGAACCAAUCAUGCGUUUUUUGUGGCGUGUAUGUAGAAUCAUGCGAUCACGUAUUUGUGUCGUGUCACUUUGCACAAAUGGUAUGGCAGAAUCUGGCGGGAUGGCUUAGGAUGCAACCGAUUAUAGCCUUCGGAAUCCAGGAUCUUCUCACCCUUCACGGCUCAUCCUCGGGCUCAAGGAGAAAGAAAGCUAUUCUUGCUAUAAUUCUGGUGGCCUUUUGGUGUAUAUGGAAGACGAGGAACGAAAUAGUAUUUCGGCAAGUGGUCCCAAACUUUGCGAGAACUCUUGAUGAGAUAAAAUCGAUGGCAUUUUUAUGGAUCAAGAAUCGGUCAAAAGCAAAUUCGUCGACAUGGGAGGAAUGGAGUCGUUUUAAUUUAUAAGUUAUGUAAUGAUGUAAUAGUAUUUGGUUUGGAGUCUUGGUGUAAACCGUUGUAUAUUUGGCGUGUAACAUUUUGUUACUAUGAAUAAAAUUUUUCUGUCCGCCGUUAAAAAAAAAAAAAAAAAAAAAAAAAAAGAUCGGAUUAUCUUUU